AGGGAGGGAGGGAGGUAGGAAGGGAGGGAGGGAGGAAAAACAAUGAAGGAGAAGGGAAGGGAAGAUACUGUAUUUGGAGAACAAGAUGAGCGACGGCAGGAGAUUAACGUGGUGAAGUGUUGAUCAGUUGAUUGAGAGAAUAAUACAAGGAAAAGCAAGAAAGAAGACAUCUAUGCUUUUAGUCUGGAGUCUUAACUCAGUCCUAAACUACAUCUAUGCUUUUAGUCUGGAGUCUUAACUCAGUCCUAAACUACAUCUAUGCUUUUAGUCUGGAGUCUUAACUCAGUCCUAAACUACAUCUAUGCUUUUAGUCUGGAGUCUUAACUCAGUCCUAAACUACAAUACUUAACUACAUCUAUGCUUUUAGUCUGGAGUCUUAACUCAGUCCUAAACUACAAUACUUAACUACAUCUAUGCUUUUAGUCUGGAGUCUUAACUCAGUCCUAAACUACAAUACUUAACUACAUCUAUGCUUUUAGUCUGGAGUCUUAACUCAGUCCUAAACUACAAUACUUAACUACAUCUAUGCUUUUAGUCUGGAGUCUUAACUCAGUCCUAAACUACAUCUAUGCUUUUAGUCUGGAGUCUUAACUCAGUCCUAAACUACAAUUACUUAACUACAUCUAUGCUUUUAGUCUGGAGUCUUAACUCAGUCCUAAACUACAAUACUUAACUACAUCUAUGCUUUUAGUCUGGAGUCUUAACCCUGUCCUAAACUACAAUACUUAACUACAUCUAUGCUUUUAGUCUGGAGUCUUAACCCUGUCCUAAACUACAAUACUUAACUACAUCUAUGCUUUUAGUCUGGAGUCUUAACCCUGUCCUAAACUACAACUCUCACCUUAAAAACUACAGUACUUAACUAUCAGGAGGAAGCGAGGGUACAUUGCUACAAUAUAAUCUUGGUUAUCAUUUUGGAAUAUUAUCAGUAAAAAUGUAUGUUGCUUUCAAUAUGGUUCUAAUUUAAAGCACUUUUGUUGUAAUGUGUAUUUGAGUGUGUGUUUUGAGUGUGUGUUUUGAGUGUGUGUUUUGAGUGUGUGUGAGCGUAUUGAAAAUAAUAAGCUUGGUACGAAAACCAAUAGAGAAAACCAAUAGAAAACCAAUAGAGAAAACCAAUAGAAAACCAAUAGAGAAAACCAAUAGAGAAAACCAAUAGAGAAAACCAAUAGAAAACCAAUAGAAAACCAAUAGAGAAAACCAAUGGAGAAAACCAAUAGAAAACCAAUAGAGAAAACCCAUAGAGAAAACCAAUAGAAAACCAAUAGAAAACCAAUAGAGAAAACCAAUAGAAAACCAAUAGAGAAAACCAAUAGAGAAAACCAAUAGAAAACCAAUAGAGAAAACCAAUAGCAAACCAAUAGAAAACCAAUACAGAAAACCAAUAGAAAACCAAUAGAGAAAACCAAUAGAAAACCAAUAGAGAAAACCAAUAGAAAACCAAUAGAGAAAACCAAUAGAAAACCAAUAGAGAAAACCAAUAGAAAACCAAUAGAGAAAACCAAUAGAGAAAACCAAUAGAAAACCAAUAGAGAAAACCAAUAGAAAACCAAUAGAGAAAACCAAUAGAAAACCAAUAGAAAACCAAUAGAAAACCAAUAGAGAAAACCAAUAGAAAACCAAUAGAGAAAACCAAUAGAGAAAACCAAUAGAAAACCAAUAGAAAACCAAUAGAGAAAACCAAUAGAAAACCAAUAGAGAAAACCAAUAGAGAAAACCAAUAGAAAACCAAUAGAAAACCAAUAGAGAAAACCAAUAGAAAACCAAGAGAAAACCAAUAGAAAAACCAAUAGAAAACCAAUAGAGAAAACCAAUAGAGAAAACCAAUAGAAAACCAAUAGAGAAAACCAAUAGAGAAAACCAAUAGAGAAAACCAAUAGAAAACCAAUAGAGAAAACCAAUAGAGAAAACCAAUAGAGAAAACCAAUAGAAAACCAAUAGAGAAAACCAAUAGAGAAAACCAAUAGAAAACCAAUAGAGAAAACCAAUAGAUGCUUCACACAUAUUGUAACAAUUAGCGUUGCCAAAGUCUGCAUUAUGUACGCGUCAAGAGUUUUCUUUUGUACUUGGCACUUUAUCUCCUUCUGACGCUCUUAUCCAUAUUUAACUCCUGUGUUACUUUCUCCAUUUUUUUUGUUAUUUUAAUAUACAAAACAGCUAUACAAAAUGAUCUUCUAAUGAGUAUUAUAACAGUAACUAUGUCAGGAAAUUGAAGCGUUUUCAUUUUGUAUUUUCUUUUGUAAUUUUGUGUUUGUUUUUUUAUCGUUGUUGUUAUUGAUGGUCACUCUACUUCCUGGAGAGAGAAAAAAAAAUCCUCCCCACAAACUUCCUGUUUCCUGUGGGCAUAUCUCAGGGACCCCACCCCUUCCCCCCCCAAAAAAAAACCAGGAAGUUGGCCUUAUUUGUUUGUUCUCUUCUGUUUGUUGUUGUUGAAAGGUCAGUGAGAAGUGUCAUAGUAGUGCUUUUAGAAGCGUUGUAAUGAUUCUCUGAUGUUCCAUCCAGACCAAAGUAUAUAUUAUAUUCAUCUCCCGUUAAUAGAACACAGCCCACACGCUAGAACACUCUAGAACCAACCAUUCCAAGCCAUGUUCCCUUUUCCAAGCCCACAAAGACAUUUUGGAUGUACAUUUUACUCCAAGCCUGUUGGUGGCAGUCUCCACAAGAUUGGUGGUCCUGUCCAUAAACUUCCCACAACAAUGUAACGUUCAGUUACAAAGUUAUAUCAAAACCCUGUUUUCUAAUCAGUCAGUUUGUAUGUAGCUACUUCUUGAGUUAUAUCAUUCUCAGUUUUGUUGAUGUGCUGCAGAGUUGUUGGUUUUUACGGUCGUUAAGCACUGGCGUUCCGGUUUCACACCUUCUUUUAGUGUCCUCCAUCCCCUAGACAACACACCUGACAGUUCCCAUAGCAACUCUCAGUUCACAAUUCAAGCGCUACAAAGAAGUUCUUAAAUCCAAAGAAAACAAUGAAGAGCAGGUUCUCCCAUUUCUCCUGAGUAUAUAUAUAUAUAUAUAUCGGCCCGGUUUUUACUGUGUGUAACUACAUCGUGCCAAAGCUAGUCCCUUCUGCAUGUUUAGUAUUUUGUCUUGGUGUAACACGUACUUUGUCCUACAUUUGCAUGUUGAAACAAAAGUGUUGUGGUCUGUUUUGUAUCGUUGUAUUGUAUCAUGCGCCUGUAGCAUUUCUCCUGCUUUUGCACUUGACAAAGUCGAAUAAAGAGUUUGACAGCUAUGAGAGCAGGUA
Molecule: long non-coding RNA, 3238 nt
Organism: Oncorhynchus tshawytscha (Chinook salmon)
Lineage: Eukaryota; Metazoa; Chordata; Actinopteri; Salmoniformes; Salmonidae
Source: Ensembl